RNAcentral lists this ribosomal RNA (468 nucleotides) under uncultured bacterium. RNAcentral describes it as "partial 16S ribosomal RNA". It matches the Rfam family "Bacterial small subunit ribosomal RNA", at positions 28 to 507 of the family's 1533-position model. The record is from RNAcentral.
GACGAACGCUGGCGGCGUGCUUAACACAUGCAGGUCGAACGGAAAGGCCCUGCUUUUGUGGGGUGCUCGAGUGGCGAACGGGUGAGUAACACGUGAGUAACCUGCCCUUGACUUUGGGAUAACUUCAGGAAACUGGGGCUAAUACCGGAUAGGAGCUCCUGCUGCAUGGUGGGGGUUGGAAAGUUUCGGCGGUUGGGGAUGGACUCGCGGCUUAUCAGCUUGUUGGUGGGGUAGUGGCUUACCAAGGCUUUGACGGGUAGCCGGCCUGAGAGGGUGACCGGCCACAUUGGGAAUGAGAUACGGCCCAGAAUCCUACGGGAGGCAGCAGUGGGGAAUAUUGCACAAUGGGCGGAAGCCUGAUGCAGCAACGCCGCGUGCGGGAUGACGGCCUUCGGGUUGUAAACCGCUUUCGCCUGUGACGAAGCGUGAGUGACGGUAAUGGGUAAAGAAGCACCGGCUAACUACGUG